Long non-coding RNA from Mercenaria mercenaria, 5412 nucleotides. RefSeq lists it as uncharacterized. The record is from RefSeq and is a predicted model, not a curated record. The transcript is spliced from 2 exons. NCBI's taxonomy places the organism in Eukaryota, Metazoa, Mollusca, Bivalvia, Venerida, Veneridae.
GAAAAAUCGACUGACCCUCCACAGAAAUAAAGGGGGAGGGGGUGGUCACAUGUGGCCAUUUUUUAUCCAGGGAAAUGUUAGAAUCUUAUGGGAGGUAAAACAAUAUUCAUUGGAAUCAGAAAGCGAAUGUCCUUGACGGAAAAUUGCCGAGCUGAUUUAACUUCGAGUCGAUGUCUUUGUACUGGAUUUGGUCAUCCUCCGAGGAUCGAGUAAAAUGGGCUUUCCGCCUGAGCUGAUCUGUAUAUAACAAUACUAUGAAAGUUGGCAACUUAAUUUCUCAAAAUAGUUUUACUCUGAAAUGAUAUUUGACAGUAUAUUUUAAUCAUUUAUGUGUUUCCGUCCAGUAGGUACGAAGCUCAGAGGGGACAUAUGAGUUUUAUUUUUAUAUUUCUCGUGGCCACGAGAUUAAAAAGGAAAAAAAGCUAUCUCGUGGCCACGAAAUAAUUUAAAAACAGAAACGAAGCUAUCUCGUGGCCACGAGAUAUAAAAGUUAAUUCAUGGUCACGAGAUAACAUUUUUUUUUCUUUUUUAUAUCUCGUGGCCACGAAUUAACUUUUCUGUUUUUUGUUUUUUUCUUUUUUAUAUCUCGUGGCCACGAAUUACUUUUCUGUUUUUUGUUGUUUUUUUUUUUUUUUUAUAUCUCGUGGCCACGAGAUAACUUUUUGUUUUUCGUUGUUGCUUUUUUAUAUCUCCGUGGCUACGCGAUAAUAUAAAAAUAAAACUCACAUGUCCCCUCUGAGCUUCCGUAAGUAGGCGACAAAAAUGCCCUCCCUGAUAAGGUUGUAAGAUACCAGUGGUGCCUGUGGUCGCAUUCCUCAUAACCAGUAAAAUAGGAUCACAUUCUGCACAGGGGUGUGAACAAUAUAAGGUACAACAGAGCGGGCCAUUAAUUUCACAAGUUUAUCAUACAAAGAACAUACGAAUAAAUUUAAACGAUAGAAAUUACUCCUUAGAUAUGCUUUGCUGAACAACUAUUCAAAAUAAAGAUGUAUACAGUUAUGCAAUAUUCACCUGUAUAAAAUGACAUAACGUGCAACAUAAAACAUUAAAAUUAAUACAUGUAUUGACAAAGAAGGCUGGCGAGAUGUACCCAGAAUAAAAAUAUUGUUUGAGGGCCAGUAAAUAAGUAAGAGGAAGGAAGGAAGGAAGGAAUGAAGGAAGGAAGGAAGUAGAAGUAAGUGAAGAAGUAAGUAAGUAAGUAAAGAAGUAAAUAUGUAAGGAAGGUAAGAAGUAAGUAAAUUAAGAAGUAAAUAAGUAAGGAAGGAAGUAAAGAAGUAAGUUAGGAAGUAAGGAAGGAAGUAAAGAAGUAACUAAGAAAGUAAGUAAAGAAGGAAGUAAGGAAGGAAGUAAAGAAGCAAUUAAAUGAGUAAUUAAUUACAAAAAGUAACGAAGUAAGGAAGAAAGUAAAGAAAUAAAAAUAUAUGUAAGGAAGGAAGUAAAUAAGCAAGGAAUGAAGUAAAGAAGUAAAUAAUUAAGUAAGUAAGGAAGUAAAUAAGGAAGGAAGGAAGUAAGGAAGGAAGUAAAAAAGUAAAAACGUAAGUAAGUAAGAAAGUAAACAAAGAAGUAAGUAAGUAAGUAAAGAGGUAAAUAAAUAAGGAAGGAAGUAAAGAAGUAAGUAAGGAAGGAAGGAAGAAAGUAUGUAAGGAAGUAAAUAAGUAAGAAAAGAAGUGAAGAAGGAAGUAAGGAAAGAAUGAAGUAAAGUAAGGAAGGAAGGAAGUAAAGUUGUAAGGAAAGAAUGAAGUAAAGAAGUAAGUAAAGUAAGGAAGGAAGCAAGCAAGUAAAGAAGGAAGGAAGGAAGGAAGGACGGAACAAAGGAAGGAAGGAAAUAAGUAAGUACUUCAUUAUAGCGGUAUUUGUAAAGGUCUGUGAAGCUGGCUAGAAGAUGGGUAUUGGGAGUUGGAUAUUCAAUAUUUAGUUACGUUAUAAUUCCCAGCCAGCUCUGAGUUGGAUAUUCAAACGAUCUAUCCACAACACAUAAAAAAUGAACAUACGAAUAAAUUUAAACGUUAGAAAAUACUCCUUCCGUUAAGUGUAAAAAGAGAGAUAUGCUUUGCUAAACAACUAUUUAAAUUAAAGAUGUAUACAGUUUUGCAGUAUUCACCUGUAUAAAAUGAUAUUACAUGCAACAUAAAAAUUAAUAUUGACAAAGAAUGCAGGCGAGAUGUGCACCAGAAAAAAUAAUAUUGUCUGAGGGCCAGUAAAUAAGUAGGAAGGAAGGAAGGAAAUAUUUAAGGAAUGAAAGAAAUAUGUAAGGAAGGAAAGACGUAAGUAAAUUAAGAAAUAAAUAAGUAAGGAAAGAAGUUAAGAAGUAAGUAAGGAAGUAGGUAAAGAAGUAAGGAAGUAAAGAAGUAACUAAGAAAGUAAGUAAAGAAGUAAGUAAUGAAGCAAUUAAAUGAGUAAUUAAGUAAAACAGUAACGAAGUAAGGAAGAAAGUAAAGAUAUAUGUAAGGAAGGAAGUAAGUAAGUAAAUAAGCAAGGAAUGAAGUAAAAAAGUAAAUAAGUAAUGAAGGAAGUAAGUGAGUAAGUAGGGAAGUAAAUAAGGAAGGAAAGAAGUAAAGAAGAAAGUAAGGAAGGAAGUAAACAAAGAAGUAAAUAUGUAAGGAGGGAAUUAAAGAAGUAUGUAAGGAAAUAAGUAAAGAAGUAAGUAAGUAAUAAAGUAAGAAAGGAAGGAAGUAUGUAAGGAAGUGGAUAAUAAGAAAGGAAUGAAGAAGGAAGAAAGGAAAGAAUGAAGUAAAGUAAGUAAGGAAGGAAGUAGUAAGGAAGAAAGGAAGUAAGGAAAUGAAGUAAAGAAGUACUUAAAGUAAGGAAGGAUGAAAGCUGGGUAUUCACCUCUGGCUUUAUAUUCGUUUUAGGUAAUUUGAAUACCCAAUUCAGAGCUGGCUGGGUAUUCACCUCUGGUUAGAUAUUCGUCUUAUAUAUUUGAAUACCCAAUUGAGAGCUAACUGGGUAUUCAACCCUGGCUGUGAAUUCAGUUUUCUUAACCAGAGAUGUCUUAGGUAAUUUGAAUACCCAACUCAGAGCUAGCUGAAUAUUCAUCUCUGGCUGGAUAUUCGUCUUAGGUAAUUUGAAUACCCAACUCAGAGCUAGCUGGGUAUUCGAUCCUGGCUGUGUAUUCAUUUUUCUUAUGUGGCGUGAAUACUCAGCUUAUUGCUAGCUGUGUAUUCACCUCUGGCAGGUAAUUUGAAUACCCAACUCAGAGUUAACUGGGUAUUCGAUUUGGCUGUGUAUUCAUUUUAUUUGGCGUGAAUACCCAACUCAGAGCUAGCUGUGUGUUCAUCUCUGGCUGGAUAUUAGCGUUAGAUCGUUUGAAUACCCAACUCAGAGCUGGCUGGGAAUUAGAACAUAACUAGCUCCCAAUACCCAUCUCCCUGCCAACUUCGCAGACCUUCAGUUAGUCUAUUUUAUUAUAGUAUAUAGCGCAUUUUUAUAACUGUUAGCUAUAGUGGCUGAUUUACGCCAUUUCUUUGUUUCGUUUUUCCCCCACAUAACGUCGUUAUUGCCCCCGUCAAACUUCGCCCCGGUUGGAGAUCACCAGUUGUUUUCCCAUAGACUUCCUUUAUAACAUUAUGGCGUGUACGGCAUUGCAUAAAUCGAAAACGUAUAUAUCUAAUCACAAUUUUUUUCAAGAACUAUCUUAGUUCCACCAAAAUAACGAAUGAAAAACGUAAAAAUAGUGAUAUUUUAUUUGAGUAUUUUUCGUGUGAACGAUGUGACUCUGUGUUUAUAUCGUGGCAUGGCGGGAGAAAAUCGUUUAAUGAAACUUUUUUUUCAAUACGCUUCAAAUGUAGCAAAUAUUGUCAAAAUAUGUAUUUAGAUACGGACUAAACCUUACCCUAUUCCUAGUAAGUUCUCUGUACUUUUUUGAAUUGGUGGAAUCUGACACCCGCCGAACAUCGCCCCGCCAAACGUUGCCCCGCCGAACGUCGUCCAACCAAACAUCGCCCCGCCGAACGUCGCCCGGCUAUCACACAGGGCAAUGUGAGGUGAUGCCUUUAAGUCAAAGGUCAAGAUCUGUUGAUUCAGUGCAUGAAAAGGUUGAGCUUAUUGUCCCCCGCCCUUUUCGAAGAAAAAAGAGGGACAAAGGCAUAGGUUGCCUCCGUCAUUCCGUCCGUCCGUACGUCACUCUUUGUGUCCGGUCCAUAACUCUCUGAAGGGAUUAUGAAAUAACUUGGCACAAAUGUUUCCCAUAAACAGACGACGUGUCAUACACAAGACCCAGACCCCUAGCUCCUAGGUCAAGGUCACACUUAGAGGUCAAAUGUUAGGUAAAUAACUCUGCCAUUCAUCAAGGGAUUUCAAAAUUACUUGACACAAAUGUACCCAUUAUGAGACGACGUGUCAUGCGUAAGACCCAGUCCCCUAGCUCAAAGAUAAAGGUCACACUUGGAGGUCACAUGUUCAGAGCAUCAGUUUCAGUCCAGUUCAUAGCUCUGCCAUUCAUGAAGGGAUUUUAAAAUCACUUGGCACAAAUAUUCCCUGUAAUAAGACAAUAUGUCACGGACAAGACCCAGACCCCUGUCUCAAAGGUCAAGGUCACAUGUAGAAGUCAAAGAUAAUAGGUUUUUUUGUCUGGUCAGUAUCUUUACUUUGCAUGGAUGGAUAUACAAGUAACUUGACAUAAACAGUCACCAUAACAAAUUGAUUUGUUGCAUACAAGACUCAGACUCAAGGUCAAUGUCACUUUUGGAGAUAAAACAUUUUUGACAUUUUUUUUUCUGGUCUGUAACCUUUCUAUGCUUGGGAGUAUAUUUAAAUAACUUGGCAUGAAUAUUUACCAUUACAAGACAGUAUCCCAGUAAACACCUGACGUCGUACCGACGUUGGUUAGACGUUGGAUUUUGGUCGCGACGUCGGCGACCUGAAUCCAACGUCUAACCAACGUCAUAACCACGACGUCUAAUUGACGUCAGACUUUGACGUCUAGGAGACGUUGGAUUUAGGUUGGAUAGAAAGUCUGUUUACAUAUUUUUAGUUAUAAAAUUAACUUGUUUAAUUUUGCUAGUAUAGUUUAAAGAUAUUUAUGCCUGAACAUGCGCUUAUAAAUAAAUAGAUCAUUCGCACAUCAAACAUUAUUAUUAAUUAUGUUACAAAAUCGCACGAGAUUGUCUAUUUUCGGAAACGGAAUUUUUUUACCAAUUUAAAACUGUUCAGGAAAAAAUUGCAUUCUAUACACAUAUUUAAAUUAUUCUAAAUUCACCUAAGGAUCUUCUUCUACACAUGUUGUUUAUUAGCCAUGCUUUCGCGAGAUAAGCCUGCAUCGGUCUACACAAGUCUUCCGGUGGAAAAUUUAGCGGAGUUGAAGAAUCAUGCAAACGUGACAAAACUUGAAAGUUUCAAUUACUGGAUUACGUUUAUGGAUUUAUAAUAUUAGGCUUAUGUCGCUAUAAUGUGAAAUAAAGAUGAUUAAAUACA